AGUUCUGAAGAUCGACGACAAGAAUUUUGUCACUCCGAUCGACAACCUAAAACCCAAACAGACUUUUGUUUCGUCCUUAGCCCAAUCCUACGUCACUUUACAGCGCGACGCAAAAUCCAACAGCAGCGUCUUCCUUCCUCAUCUGAUUCCUUUCCGUGCCAACUUCAGCAACAGUUGCAUUUCAGGAUGAGCAAGAGCAAUAUUCUUAAUGGCUA
Jatropha curcas is the source of this 215-nucleotide non-coding RNA. Lineage: Eukaryota; Viridiplantae; Streptophyta; Magnoliopsida; Malpighiales; Euphorbiaceae. The record is from RefSeq and is a predicted model, not a curated record.